CCUACGGGUGGCUGCAGUGGGGAAUAUUGCGCAAUGGGCGAAAGCCUGACGCAGCGACGCCGCGUGAGGGAUGACGGCCUUCGGGUUGUAAACCUCUUUCAGCAGGGAAGAAUAAUGACGGUACCUGAGGAAUAAGUCUCGGCUAACUACGUGCCAGCAGCCGCGGUAAUACGUAGGGCGCGAGCGUUAUCCGGAAUUAUUGGGCGUAAAGAGCUCGUAGGCGGUUUGUCGCGUCUGCCGUGAAAGUCCGGGGCUCAACUCCGGAUCUGCAGUGGGUACGGGCAGACUAGAGUGAUGUAGGGGAGACUGGAAUUCCUGGUGUAGCGGUGAAAUGCGCAGAUAUCAGGAGGAACACCGAUGGCGAAGGCAGGUCUCUGGGCAUUAACUGACGCUGAGGAGCGAAAGCGUGGGGAGCGAACAGGAUUAGAUACCCUUGUAGUC
Molecule: ribosomal RNA, 441 nt
Filed under: Salmonella enterica subsp. enterica serovar Anatum
Lineage: Bacteria; Pseudomonadati; Pseudomonadota; Gammaproteobacteria; Enterobacterales; Enterobacteriaceae
Description: bacterial SSU rRNA
Rfam family: Bacterial small subunit ribosomal RNA
Source: RNAcentral